Molecule: ribosomal RNA, 467 nt
Filed under: uncultured Campylobacterota bacterium
Lineage: Bacteria; Pseudomonadati; Campylobacterota
Description: bacterial SSU rRNA
Rfam family: Bacterial small subunit ribosomal RNA
Source: RNAcentral
AGUGAACGCUGGCGGCGUGCUUAACACAUGCAAGUCGAACGAGAACGGGAUAAGGCUUGCCUUAUUUGUCAGCUAAGUGGCGCACGGGUGAGUAAUGUAUAGGUAAUGUGCCCUAGAGAGGGGGAUAAUUGAUGGAAACGUCUUGUAACACCCCAUAUGCCUUUAAGUCAAAAGACUGCAAGGGAAAUAUUUAUAGCUCUAGGAUCAGCCUGUAUGGUAUCAGUUUGUUGGUGGGGUAAUGGCCUACCAAGACUAUGACACCUAACUGGUUUGAGAGGAUGAUCAGUCACACUGGAACUGAGACACGGUCCAGACUCCUACGGGAGGCAGCAGUGGGGAAUAUUGCACAAUGGAGGAAACUCUGAUGCAGCAACGCCGCGUGGAGGAUGACACAUUUCGGUGCGUAAACUCCUUUUAUAUAAGAAGAUAAUGACGGUAUUAUAUGAAUAAGCACCGGCUAACUCCGU